ACGAACGCUGGCGGCGUGCUUAACACCUGCAAGUCGAACGAUGAAGCCUUAGCUUGCUUUGGUGGAUUAGUGGCGAACGGGUGAGUAACACGUGAGCAACGUGCCCAGGACUCUGGAAUAACCGCGGGAAACCGUGGCUAAUACCGGAUAGGUGCCGAGGCCGCAUGGUCUUCGGUUGGAAAGUUUUUGCGGUUCUGGAUCGGCUCACGGCCUAUCAGCUUGUUGGUGGGGUAAUGGCCUACCAAGGCGACGACGGGUAGCCGGCCUGAGAGGGUGACCGGCCACACUGGGACUGAGACACGGCCCAGACUCCUACGGGAGGCAGCAGUGGGGAAUAUUGCACAAUGGGCGCAAGCCUGAUGCAGCAACGCCGCGUGGGGGAUGACGGCCUUCGGGUUGUAAACCUCUUUUAGUAGGGAAGAAGCGCAAGUGACGGUACCUGCAGAAAAAGCACCGGCUAACUACGUG
RNAcentral lists this ribosomal RNA (468 nucleotides) under uncultured bacterium. RNAcentral describes it as "partial 16S ribosomal RNA". It matches the Rfam family "Bacterial small subunit ribosomal RNA", at positions 29 to 507 of the family's 1533-position model. The record is from RNAcentral.